GGAGCUGUGGCUCAGUGGUAGAGCACUUGCCUAGCAUAUGUGAGUUGCUGGGUUCGAUCCUCAGCACCG
This 69-nucleotide transfer RNA is filed under the name Ictidomys tridecemlineatus (thirteen-lined ground squirrel). Its description in RNAcentral is "Spermophilus tridecemlineatus (thirteen-lined ground squirrel) tRNA". It matches the Rfam family "tRNA". From Rfam's summary of the family: Transfer RNA (tRNA) molecules are approximately 80 nucleotides in length. Their secondary structure includes four short double-helical elements and three loops (D, anti-codon, and T loops). Lineage: Eukaryota; Metazoa; Chordata; Mammalia; Rodentia; Sciuridae. The record is from Rfam by way of RNAcentral.